This 420-nucleotide ribosomal RNA is filed under the name uncultured archaeon. RNAcentral describes it as "partial 16S ribosomal RNA". It matches the Rfam family "Archaeal small subunit ribosomal RNA", at positions 323 to 746 of the family's 1478-position model. The record is from RNAcentral.
CUACGGGUCGCUGCAGCUGAGGAAAUUUUACAAUGCUCGAAAGAGUGAUAGAAUAAACCAGAGUGUUUCUCUAUGAGAAACUUUUGUCUACUGUAAAAAAGUAGACGAAUAAGGACUGGGCAAGACCGGUGCCAGCCGCCGCGGUAAUACCGGCGGUCCAAGUCGCAUCCACAUUUAUUGGGUCUAAAACAUUCGUAGCUUGUUUUGUAAGUCUCUUGUGAAAUCUCAUGUCUCAAGCAUGAGGCGUGCAAGAAAUACUGCAUUGCUAGAGACCGGAAGACGUAAGGAGUAUGGUUGAGGUAGCGGUAAAAUGCGUUAAUCUCAAUUAGACUAACAACGGCGAAGGCACCUUACGAGUACGGAUCUGACAGUGAGGAAUGAAGGCUAGGGUCGCGAAACGGAUUAGAUACCCGCGUAGUC